CAGUGCAGAAAAAGUACACAGGAAAACAUAAAAAAAGUUGAAAAUAAUAAACUCAAAAUAAUCUAAUACUCAAUGGAUAAUGUGGAAAACUGCAAAACUGAGCUUUCACAUCUUUGAAGUCUGUUUGUUGGCAGUGU
Juglans microcarpa x Juglans regia is the source of this 137-nucleotide long non-coding RNA. RefSeq lists it as uncharacterized. Lineage: Eukaryota; Viridiplantae; Streptophyta; Magnoliopsida; Fagales; Juglandaceae. The transcript is spliced from 2 exons. The record is from RefSeq and is a predicted model, not a curated record.